RNAcentral lists this ribosomal RNA (470 nucleotides) under uncultured Pseudomonas sp. Its description in RNAcentral is "bacterial SSU rRNA". It matches the Rfam family "Bacterial small subunit ribosomal RNA", at positions 30 to 493 of the family's 1533-position model. The record is from RNAcentral. Lineage: Bacteria; Pseudomonadati; Pseudomonadota; Gammaproteobacteria; Pseudomonadales; Pseudomonadaceae.
AUUGAACGCUGGCGGCAGGCCUAACACAUGCAAGUCGAGCGGUAGAGAGAAGCUUGCUUCUCUUGAGAGCGGCGGACGGGUGAGUAAUGCCUAGGAAUCUGCCUGGUAGUGGGGGAUAACGUUCGGAAACGGACGCUAAUACCGCAUACGUCCUACGGGAGAAAGCAGGGGACCUUCGGGCCUUGCGCUAUCAGAUGAGCCUAGGUCGGAUUAGCUAGUUGGUGAGGUAAUGGCUCACCAAGGCGACGAUCCGUAACUGGUCUGAGAGGAUGAUCAGUCACACUGGAACUGAGACACGGUCCAGACUCCUACGGGAGGCAGCAGUGGGGAAUAUUGGACAAUGGGCGAAAGCCUGAUCCAGCCAUGCCGCGUGUGUGAAGAAGGUCUUCGGAUUGUAAAGCACUUUAAGUUGGGAGGAAGGGCAGUUACCUAAUACGUGAUUGUUUUGACGUUACCGACAGAAUAAGCAC